GUCUGAAAUCAAAGCCUUCGAGACCCAAUUGGCCCGUACUGAAUCCCUCCCCGAAUACAUUUUCUAUGAUGGUCCUCCUUUUGCCACCGGCCUCCCUCACUACGGCCACAUACUCGCCGGAACUAUUAAGGACAUUGUCACCCGCUACCAGACCAUGAGGGGCCACCAUGUUACUCGCCGCUUCGGCUGGGAUUGCCAUGGUCUGCCUGUG
Molecule: unclassified non-coding RNA, 211 nt
Filed under: Hevea brasiliensis (rubber tree)
Lineage: Eukaryota; Viridiplantae; Streptophyta; Magnoliopsida; Malpighiales; Euphorbiaceae
Source: RNAcentral